CCUACGGGAGGCAGCAGUGGGGAAUAUUGGACAAUGGGCGAAAGCCUGAUCCAGCCAUGCCGCGUGUGUGAAGAAGGCCUUCGGGUUGUAAAGCACUUUCAGUGGGGAAGAAAGCCUUGGGGCUAAUACCCUCGAGGAAGGACAUCACCCACAGAAGAAGCACCGGCUAACUCCGUGCCAGCAGCCGCGGUAAUACGGAGGGUGCGAGCGUUAAUCGGAAUUACUGGGCGUAAAGCGCGCGUAGGCGGUCUGAUAAGCCGGUUGUGAAAGCCCCGGGCUCAACCUGGGAACGGCAUCCGGAACUGUCAGGCUAGAGUGCAGGAGAGGAAGGUAGAAUUCCCGGUGUAGCGGUGAAAUGCGUAGAGAACGGGAGGAAUACCAGUGGCGAAGGCGGCCUUCUGGACUGACACUGACGCUGAGGUGCGAAAGCGUGGGUAGCAAACAGGAUUAGAUACCCGAGUAGUC
This 465-nucleotide ribosomal RNA is filed under the name Vreelandella stevensii. Its description in RNAcentral is "partial 16S ribosomal RNA". It matches the Rfam family "Bacterial small subunit ribosomal RNA", at positions 338 to 795 of the family's 1533-position model. The record is from RNAcentral. Lineage: Bacteria; Pseudomonadati; Pseudomonadota; Gammaproteobacteria; Oceanospirillales; Halomonadaceae.